Molecule: ribosomal RNA, 440 nt
Filed under: uncultured bacterium
Lineage: Bacteria
Description: partial 16S ribosomal RNA
Rfam family: Bacterial small subunit ribosomal RNA
Source: RNAcentral
CCUACGGGAGGCAGCAGUGGGGAAUAUUGCACAAUGGGGGAAACCCUGAUGCAGCGACGCCGCGUGGGUGAAGAAGCGCCUCGGCGCGUAAAGCCCUGUCAGCAGGGAAGAAAAUGACGGUACCUGAAGAAGAAGCCCCGGCUAACUACGUGCCAGCAGCCGCGGUAAUACGUAGGGGGCAAGCGUUAUCCGGAUUUACUGGGGGUAAAGGGGGCGCAGACGGCGAUGCAAGCCAGGAGUGAAAGCCCGGGGCCCAACCCCGGGACUGCUCUUGGAACUGGGUGGCUAGAGUGCAGGAGGGGCAGGCGGAAUGCAUGGUGUAGCGGUGAAAUGCGUAGAUAUCAGGAGGAACACCGGUGGCGAAGGCGGCCUGCUGGACUGCAACUGACGUUGAGGCCCGAAAGCGUGGGGAGCAAACAGGAUUAGAUACCCCAGUAGUC